AUACCCCAUAGGCCGAGAGGUUAAAGCAGCAAUGCGCUGGAGGAGGUGCUCGUGCCCUAUCAGCUGGUUGUGAGGUAACGGCUCACCAAGGCGACGACGGGUAGCCGGCCUGAGAGGGUGAACGGCCACACUGGAACUGAGAUACGGUCCAGACUCCUACGGGAGGCAGCAGUGGGGGAUAUUGGGCAAUGGGAGGGAUCCUGACCCAGCGACGCCGCGUGAACGAAGACGGCCUUCGGGUUGUAAAGUUCUUUUAUGUGGGAAGAAUUAAGUGACGGUACCACAUGAAUAAGCCCCGGCUAACUACGUGCCAGCAGCCGCGGUAAUACGUAGGGGGCGAGCGUCGUCCGGAAUUACUGGGCGUAAAGGGCACGCAGGCUGUGCUUCAAGUCAGCUGUAAAAGGAUGCGGCUUAACCGUGUUAUGCAGUUGAGACUGAGGUGCUGGAGUACCGGAGAGGCAAGUGGAAUUCCCAGUGUAGCGGUGAAAUGCGUAGAUAUUGGGAAGAACAUCGGUGGCGAAGGCGACUUGCUGGACGGUAACUGACGCUGAGGUGCGAAAGCCAGGGUAGCGAACGGGAUUAGAUACCCCGGUAGUCCUGGCCGUAAACGAUGAAUGCUAGGUGUGCGAGCAGAGAUGUUGGCGUGC
This 647-nucleotide ribosomal RNA is filed under the name uncultured Fretibacterium sp. Its description in RNAcentral is "bacterial SSU rRNA". It matches the Rfam family "Bacterial small subunit ribosomal RNA", at positions 166 to 846 of the family's 1533-position model. Lineage: Bacteria; Thermotogati; Synergistota; Synergistia; Synergistales; Aminobacteriaceae. The record is from RNAcentral.